RNAcentral lists this ribosomal RNA (447 nucleotides) under uncultured bacterium. RNAcentral's name for it is "partial 16S ribosomal RNA". It matches the Rfam family "Bacterial small subunit ribosomal RNA", at positions 331 to 793 of the family's 1533-position model. The record is from RNAcentral.
CCAGACUCCUACGGGAGGCAGCAGUGGGGAAUAUUGCACAAUGGGGGAAACCCUGAUGCAGCGACGCCGCGUGAGUGAAGAAGUAUUUCGGUAUGUAAAGCUCUAUCAGCAGGAAAGAAAAUGACGGUACCUGACUAAGAAGCCCCGGCUAACUACGUGCCAGCAGCCGCGGUAAUACGUAGGGGGCAAGCGUUAUCCGGAUUUACUGGGUGUAAAGGGAGCGUAGACGGUGAAGCAAGUCUGAAGUGAAAGGCGGGGGCUCAACCCCCGGGACUGCAUUUGGAACUGUGCUGCUAGAGUGUCGGAGAGGCAGGCGGAAUUCCUAGUGUAGCGGUGAAAUGCGUAGAUAUUAGGAGGAACACCAGUGGCGAAGGCGGCCUGCUGGACGAUGACUGACGUUGAGGCUCGAAAGCGUGGGGAGCAAACAGGAUUAGAUACCCGCGUAAG